AGGGAAAGUUGCAAAGAACUUUCAAGAGAGAGUUCAAUAGAACGUGAAACCGUUUUGCAGGUAAACAGAUGGACCCACGAAGGCCUUGUCGAACAAGAGUCAUCAUUCGGAUUUUGUUCACCGUUUAUUUCUUUACGAGCUUUUCGAAGCAGACGGGAGAAGUAUCUGGUGCGCAUUUCGAUGCAUUUGCCAAUGUUCGCAAUGGAGCUCUCACUGUUUAAGCAUAUCGCAUUUCAAUUUGAUAGAUUGUAUUCAUUCUGUAAAGAGUGUAAUGAGUCUUUCAUGAUGUACUGUAAAUAUAUGUAUUUAAACAGGAGCAUUACUCAUUUAAUGAGUUUGCUGAUAUAUCGGUGCAACUUCAACUUCUUGACGUUGCAUAGGUUGAGUAAGUACGUAUAUGUCCCUUUGUUGGACAAUAACUUUGCUUGCUUUCACCUUUGCAUCACGACGGUGGUUGAAGUAUUAAGCAUUGAUUAUCUAGAGUGCAAUGUAGAUCGGUUAUCCAUCUGUCCCGUCUUGAAACA
This 524-nucleotide ribosomal RNA is filed under the name Krendowskia sp. 1 LS-2020. RNAcentral's name for it is "partial large subunit ribosomal RNA". It matches the Rfam family "Eukaryotic large subunit ribosomal RNA", at positions 356 to 661 of the family's 3401-position model. Lineage: Eukaryota; Metazoa; Arthropoda; Arachnida; Trombidiformes; Krendowskiidae. The record is from RNAcentral.